Molecule: long non-coding RNA, 1882 nt
Organism: Oryzias javanicus (javanese ricefish)
Lineage: Eukaryota; Metazoa; Chordata; Actinopteri; Beloniformes; Adrianichthyidae
Source: Ensembl
AUGCCAAUAAUAUGUCUCGUUUUGGACUCUUUGUCUCUUCAAAGCACCUACAUUUUUUCAAACCCUUUUAAUGGAUUCCCAUGUUUGUCAUUUACAGAUAUUUACGAUAAGACUUGGACCGCUCUUUAUUUUUUCUUGCCGGCCGCCUCUUCGGGGAUGAAGACACUUACGGUGAAGUCGCCGCUCUCCGUGCCGUACUUGUUCUUCACCAGGAUGCUGUAUUUGCCAGAGUCUGAGGUGUUCACAGCAGUGAUGGUGAAGCUGGCGAACUUGCCCGACUCGAACUUGAGGAUGCAGUGCUCGUCAGACGUGAUCUCCCUGUCGUUCUUCAGCCAGGUCACCUCCGGCACAGGGUUACCCGAAAUGUUGCAGAUCUCACCUUGACCAGAGAGCUCCACGCUCCUCCGGAGGCCUCCCUUCCCGUCGUUGAACUCGAUGGCGUACUUCCCCGUGUCUUUCUCCGUGGGAUCGGUGAUCUGAAGCCACAGCUGCUCUCCCACCACGCCGCUCUUUAUACGGUCGGAGAAGGCAAUGGCAGAAUCCCUGACGGAGAGGAAACACGUCUGUAAGAAAAAAACAAACCCAAAACAACUGUUUCUGGUUUUCUUCGUAGACCCACUUGUGCUGCCAUGUGACCUGGAGUAGAUCGUUAUAGUAGCUGACGAAGGUGUAGAGCCGGAUGCCCUCGUCCGUACUCGUGAUCUUCAGGGGCGUCGAGGAAUUAGCUGGAAAGACGAACACGUUAGCGCUUCAAUACAGUUUACGACGGAGUAUUAGGGUCACCUAAAAAAAAAAAAAAAAAGGAAUAUUACAAGUUUUUUUCUCGUAGAUAUACGACUUUAAAUCUCGUAAAUGUAUGAGUUUUAAUCUCGUAGAUUUACGACUUUUUUCUCGUAAUGUAUUAAAGUCGAGGGGAGUCUACAUUCCAGCGAAUUUAUGCCGUGAACUGAAGCAGACCAACCAAACUGUGAAAAGCGUCUUGGAUUUCAUCAGGUAAACUGAAUGUUUAAAAUAUUUCAAAUAUUUGGAAGUUUCUUUAUUUGAUUUACAGUUUAUUAAUGUUUUAUUUGUUGAUGCUGCUUGCAGGAUCUCUGCAGAUCCCGUUUAUGAAGCGGUCCAUAUCCUCCAGCUGUCCACUUCAUGUCAUUUCUUCCUCUGACAGACCAGAUCUCCUCCAACUCUGUGAUGCUUCCGUCUGAAGAGGACGAGUUUUUGGAAUUUUCAAUGUUCUUGUGCUAACGUUGUCAUUUCUCAAUGUUGUUUUGUGUCGAGACGGGACGUUUCAUUUGGGGAAGGAGGCGUCCGGAGCUCUGUUUACAUUCUCUUUUGGUUUCUGAGCAUGACAGAGACAUGAUGUAAGGUGGCGAAAGGAAAUGAAAGAUGUAAUAAAGUGACGAUCUUGAUGAACGUGUAUCUCUGAGCUCUUUAUUUUACAUGUGAAACUCCGCACUGUUGUGUAUUGAAGUUAGCUGUUUAAGAACUGCAUUACCCAGAAGGCCAAGCGACUGGUCACAUGUUCGGUGCACGGCAAGUAGUAAGCAGAUGAGCGCUAGUCAUGCACAGUGUAGCAGUAUGAAGAGACUGUUAAUAAAAAGUCUGUUUAACACAAUAAUAGCGCCUCUUUUGCUUACUUGAAGAUACGCAAGACAACACACGCACUACCGAACCCGGAAAUAAUUUGAUUUUGAAUCGCCAAAAGGUUCAGAAUUUCUUUGUUUUUAACACCGAUCUGGACAUAAUCUACACCAGAUUCUCCACGUCUUUCAUCUUCAAGCACGGCUCUGAUAAACAGACAACUUUGGUUCUUUUCUCAUUAAAUUACGACUUUUAAUCUCGUAGAUUUACGACUUUAAAUCGAGUAGAUUUACGACUUUAAAUCGAG